GAAAAACAAACUGUGCUUUUAAAAUUAUAAGUCAGUUUACAAAUUAAAAUUGAUACCGUUGUUAAAAAACUGAACCUGAAACAAUAGCACUUCAGCAAAUUUUACCCAAGCCCAAUAGAUUGUGCAGUAAAGCUGAUAAAUUUGGGUCAGUUCACUUGGUGUUGGUCAAGUCAGACAGGUUGACCUGGCUUUUCAACUGCCUUGGCAGUAAUCCAUUUGGGAUAUGAGAAACAUUAAAAUCAGCAGAAAGAAAAAAAUGGAAGCACGAAAUAGUUGCUCCCUGGAGUUCAGACAUGGACAAAGAUAUGAAAAGAAGCACCAGGUCAGAAGUUGUGAAACCCCUAAAUCGUUUCACCACCAACUAUAGCAAUUCUUUUUUCUCCAAGUAGCUGCAAAAUCACUGCCAGGAUAAAGAGAUAAGGUGGCCAA
RNAcentral lists this unclassified non-coding RNA (429 nucleotides) under Hevea brasiliensis (rubber tree). The record is from RNAcentral. Lineage: Eukaryota; Viridiplantae; Streptophyta; Magnoliopsida; Malpighiales; Euphorbiaceae.